Molecule: ribosomal RNA, 306 nt
Filed under: Triticum aestivum (bread wheat)
Lineage: Eukaryota; Viridiplantae; Streptophyta; Magnoliopsida; Poales; Poaceae
Description: partial small subunit ribosomal RNA
Source: RNAcentral
AUGGACUCGGAUGACGAGGAAGCGCUUGUCGCACUGCUGGAGGAGGAAGCCGAGGCCGACGUCCAGGAAGAAGAGCAUCUCAUGGUGCUCGCCGCCCUCGCCCAGCUGCUGGCGAGCAAUGAAAAGCCGCGGCGAGGUGGCUCGGCGCCGGGGCGGGUGAAAGCAAAGAACCGGCAUCGUCUCGAAGGCUACUGCAUGCUCUACUCCGACUACUUCAUCGAUGCUCCACUUCACGGCGACAAAACAUUUCGGCACCGUUAUCGGAUGAGCCGAAAGCUAUUGCUCAGGAUUGUGAAUUCCAUCUGA